UGGUUAUAUAAAUUAAGAUCAAUAAAUCAUCAUUAAUGACUUUUUAAUUGUUUGCAUCUUAAAAGGAAGGCAUAUUGUAUGAUGAAGAACAAUGAAACAAGUGAACACCAUCCCUUUAAAGGGAAAUUGUGUGCAUCUUAUUGUAUGAUAUAACAAUAAUAGAGGCUUCACUACAUCAUCCAUUUAGAGGCUUCACUCCAUCAUCCAUUUAGAGGCUUCACUGCAGCGAAGGAAUAUUUUUCAUGUCAGAAACAUUCACAUGGUACUAAUGGUGAAGAACGAUAAAACAAAUGAAUGUCAUCCAAGUCAAGUGACAAAAUAAAUAUUCAACUAAUCUAAACAAAAGUACUGCUUAAAAAAUCUAUUUACUCGUUAAGGAUUAAUGGCAAACAUAUGGUGGACAGUCUCAAAAUACACUCAAAUAUAAUUACUACUUCCAUUGGCCUUUUAUAAUUUGGGUUUUCAGACGCAUGGAAGAGAGAUGGCAUUACUACUCCCAUUGAGACAUUAUGGUUUCAGUUAUCAAAGGAAACAAAGAGAGAACAAAAUAGAGAUGGCGUUCCAUUCUAAUCUAUGUUUUGUGAUUGGUGAACGAGUAUAUGAUUUCUAUCCACGAGUUAUGGUUCGUUUAGGUUGUUACAAUAGAAUUUAGUGGCUUCCAUGUGCAGUUGGAGCAAAAAUGAAGAAUGAACAUGAUGUUGGUGGUUUUGCUUCCAUUGUUGCUCACGCAUGUAGUAGAAGGAAAGUAGAAGUGACAUGACUUUUUAAAAGGUCAUAUGAAUCAACCAUCUCACUUUCAUAUAAAUUUGUCUUUCUUACUAGAUACAUCCCCUAAAUGAUUGAUUACUUAGAUGUAGAUUGUAGAAUACAAAUUGCAAAAUGUG
Molecule: long non-coding RNA, 884 nt
Filed under: Lupinus angustifolius (narrow-leaved blue lupine)
Lineage: Eukaryota; Viridiplantae; Streptophyta; Magnoliopsida; Fabales; Fabaceae
Description: long non-coding RNA (LANG_LNC002553)
Source: RNAcentral